RNAcentral lists this long non-coding RNA (3909 nucleotides) under Sus scrofa (pig). RNAcentral describes it as "lncRNA (ENSSSCG00015033466.1)". Lineage: Eukaryota; Metazoa; Chordata; Mammalia; Artiodactyla; Suidae. The record is from RNAcentral.
GAGGAAGCGACCUGGGCCAGGGCACCCAAACUGUGAGUGGCAGAUCUGAGAUUUACUCCGGGCAGACUCGGAGGCUCACAGCCCCGCUCUAGCAACGUUUCCGUGUGUCCCUCAGGCCCCAGGGCCUUUCAGUGGCCGUGGGUCACACGGUCACUCAUGGGGUGGCCGACACUACCGCCACCUGCCUCCCACCGGCUGGGCAGACAGGGGGAGACACGGCCUCUGUUUCCCGCCUCCCCAGCCCUGCCGCCGAGGCUGGUGCCUGAGCCCCGUGUCCCAACCUGCAGCCUGCAGAGCCCACCCCCGUGGCCGACAGGCUCGUACAUUUCCCCAUUCAGCUGAUGGUGAGUGCUGUGCUAUUUUAAGCCCACAUGGAAGUAUUUUUUUUUCCUAAGGACCAUCUGCUACCGGCCCCAGCCCAGAUGAUACAGUUAGAACUUACCCACAGCAUCCUCUCCCGCCUUCAGACAGUUCCAGGAACAAGGGUGAGUCAGUCGCCCAGCUGAACUCCCGUCCUGCUAAGAGAUGGCCCCGGUUUGGUGCCAGCGGAGGGGGCUGCUCACCCCGGGGGGCAGGGGCGCUGCUUCUCAGGGGCAGGAAAGGGACCCCUGCCCCUCACAGUGGUGCUGCCUGCAGAGAGAGCCUGGAGAAGGCCUGAGAAGGCCUGGGAAGGCCGAGUCCACCCUCCCAGCUGAGCCUCUUUUGGCUCAGAAGCUGAGACCUGGUUCAGGAGUUCAAGUGCGGACGAUGAAGCGUGUCAUGAAGGUGUCACGGAGAAGCGGGUGGCCAGCAGGGCACCUGCUCUGGCUGCUUCUGGGAGAACCCCGGGUGUGCUUUGGGGUGCCAAGAGGUUGGGUCCCCUCUCGCUGGAUGCAUGGGCCAGCAUCCCCCCGAGGCCAGGGGGGAUAUUCCGAAACACUGACCACAGGCCCUCAGGGGUGGGCUCUGCUCACCUCCCCUCUCUCCCUCCCUCCCCGCCCCCAGGGGCUCCCCAUGAAGAGAGGCUGUGUAACUCUGUGUAUAGCACAGAGAUUGGAGUCAGACCUUCUAAGCACUACUCCCCUGAGUCUCCGUUUGCUCAUCUGUAAGAUGGGAGCCAUCGAACCUACGUUCCCGGAUGGAAGUGCUGGGACACAGGUUGGAUCCCCGGCCCAGCACAGUGGGUUAAGGAUCCAGCAUUGCUGCAGCUGCAGCGUAGGUUGCAACUACAUCUGGGAUCUGAUCCCUGGCCCAGAAAUGCCAUAUGCCGUGGGGCAGCCAAAAAGAAAGACCAAAACCAAAAACUGGGGCGAUGUGUGCGAGGGGUCUGGUACUCUGCCCAGCUACUGUCGUCUGUGUCAUUAUGACCUUCAGAGGGCCUGUCCUUUGAGCUGGCUGAGAUAUCAGGUCUGCGCCCUGUCAAGCAGGGCUGCUGUGCCGCACAUGCUCUGUUGGCCUGGGCCCCCUCUCCUCCUGGGCACUGGUCAUUUGGCUGCAGGGACUCUGGUUACUAGGCAUGGGCAGCAGCUGACUUGAGCCUGGCAGGGUAGCCCUGGGCGGCUGUUAUUUCAUCACAGGCCCUCUGGCUAGACCGUUGCCUCUCUUGCUGUCCGUGGCAGAAGCCGGGACGCUCAGCCAGGGGGCUUCUCUGUGCUUCCUCCUGCCUCCUGGCUGCUCACUUCCCUCUCGGGCUGUGGGCUGUGCCCGUCUGGCGGCACCUCCCUCGGUUCUGACCCCACAGCUGUGUCCCCGAGCGCUAUCGGGUGCAUGCAGCCCUCCGAGGCCCCGGGAGUGGCCCUGUGAGCAGGCGAGGGGCUGAGGCCUGACAGCUCGGCUUCCUGUCUCAGAGUCUAUCUGCUGCCGCUCUGCAGAGGCCUACAGUUUAUCUGUGGCCAGUGUUCGCACCCAUUUCCUGCCAGCUGCUACUGGUUUUUCACUCUGCUCCGAUAGCACCGGUAACUGGGAAAGGACCCGGGCUGCGUGAUUCACCCGCGCCGGCGGGCAGGGAUGCCACGCUGGGGCACAGGGCCCUUCCCCACCGCACACGGAGGGACAGCACCGUCUCUGUCCCCUGGGCCUUCCCCGCAGGCCCUGGCGGGGAGACACAAAAAACACCCGCACAUUCAUCGCGCCCUGAAAGUUGCUUGUGUGUGUGUUCCUGCGCCCGUGUGGGGUCUAAGGGAUUUUUUUUUUUUGAAUGCACCCGGGCCGAAGCAAACGGUGUCUUGUUUGGAGAAGUCAGAAUGUAACUCGGGGCUGAGCGUCGCCCCUCUGGCGGGGAGCCCCAGUUCUCGCUGAGGGACGGUGGUGGUGAGCUGGCGGUGGCCCAGUUGAGGAUUGGGUAGUCACACCUAAAAUUUUAUUUCCUGGCAUUUCACACAAUGCGGAGGAAAAUCCCCCACCACAGCAAGGGACUCCUUCAAAUAGAAAACGAGAACGCGUCCAUUCAUUUUUAUUUUUUAUGUUUUGCUUUUUUAUGGCUGCACCUGCGGCAUAUGGAAGUUCCCAGGCUCGGGGUCUAAUCAGAGCUGUAGCUGCCGGCCUACACCACAGCCACAGAAACCCAGGGUCCGAGCUGCGUCUGCGACCUACACCCCAGCUCACGGCAAUGCCGGAUCCUUAACCCCAUGAGCAAGACCAGGGAUCGAACCUUCAUCCUCAUGGAUGCUAGUCAGGUUCUUAAUCCAUUGCGCCCCAAUAGGAACCCCCCAUUUUUUUUUUUUUUAAAUGUGGUGGAUCAGAGUUUUGAAGCGUCCUGAAUGUAGAUAAGCCUCUGGCUAAGUGUCAUGAAUUGGCUAGAGUGUGGCUUCCCAAGCCUGGGUUCAAGUGCAGGGAGCAGAGGUCUCUGCAGGGUGAGGCCAGGGCAGGCAGUGGCAGCACUCCAGAGCCGGAGGGGAAUGCAGAACCCGUGGUCCAGACCCGCUGGCACCCAGGCUGGGUUUUACCCGGCUCUGCAGGUGGCCCUGCCGUGCCAUCAAGCAUGAGAAGAUGCAGACCUCAUUGGGAGGCUUUUAAAUUUUUCUUGGGUGGCAAAGAAUCAAAGUGGUACUCCAGUAUGAAAUGAUUCACGCCACACGUAGUUACUGCCCUCCCUGGUGGGUACUAGACUGUGCGCUGGGUGCAGCAAGGGUCCACCUGGCAUCCAGAGCCCACAUCCCUGUCCCUGGUCUUGAGAAGGUGAAGUCCACGACAAGAAUGCCGCCUGAUCUGGGGACGUCCCCUAGUCAGGUGGGGGAGGGGUGCCGGGGGAGGGGCCUGGGCUAUUUCACGGGGAUGGGAAUUACAGGAAGGGGAGGGGGAAAGCUGGAUGGUGGCCUUGGUAGGUGUGGGGUUUAUCCCAGCUCCGACACUGUGUAGUGCAGCUCACAGAAGCCCCUAAACGUCUCAGCCUCAGCUUUCUCAUCUGUACAAUGGGCUGAAUGAUUUUGAGGCUUAAAUGAGGUAAUACCUGCCACAUGCCUCGCACAGCCCUCGCUAAUAUCUAUAAGAGAUGUUAGCAAGUAUUGCAUCUGAGGGCAGUGGGGAGCCACGGAGGGUUUCUAGCCAGUCAGUGACACGAGCAGGAUACUCUCUUUGCUCCUGGAAAUGCCUCGGACCUUUAGGCCAGGAGAAGCUCUUUGUCGAGCCUGAGACGCCCGUACCAUUAAUAUUUCCAGCUAUAAUCAAAUUUAAAACAUGUCUGAGAAAAAUGUUAGGCGUUUCCUUUGUGGCUCCGUGGGUUAUGAACCUAACUAGUAUCCAUAAGGAUGUGGGUUCGAUUCCUGGCCUCGCUUAGCGGGUUAAGGAUCCGGCGUUGCUGUGAGCUGCGGUGUAGGUCACAGACACAGCUCAGAUCUGGUGUGGCUGUGGCUGUGGCUGGCAGAUGCAGCUCCAAUUCCACCCCUAUUCUGGGAACUUCUAUAUGCCACAGGUGUGGUCCUAAAAGGGGGG